RNAcentral lists this ribosomal RNA (839 nucleotides) under uncultured bacterium. RNAcentral describes it as "bacterial SSU rRNA". It matches the Rfam family "Bacterial small subunit ribosomal RNA", at positions 22 to 903 of the family's 1533-position model. The record is from RNAcentral.
GCUCAGAGCGAACGCNGGCGGCAUGCUUAACACAUGCAAGUCGCACGGGCAGGGUAACCUGUCAGUGGCGGACGGGUGAGUAACGCGUAGGUAUCUAUCCUCGGGUGGGGGACAACCACGGGAAACUGUGGCUAAUACCGCAUGAUGACUGAGGUCCAAAGGCGCAAGUCGCCUGGGGAGGAGCCUGCGUCCGAUUAGCUUGUUGGUGGGGUAACGGCCUACCAAGGCUCCGAUCGGUAGCUGGUCUGAGAGGAUGAUCAGCCACACUGGGACUGAGACACGGCCCAGACUCCUACGGGAGGCAGCAGUGGGGAAUAUUGGACAAUGGGCGAAAGCCUGAUCCAGCAAUGCCGCGUGUGUGAAGAAGGUCUUCGGAUUGUAAAGCACUUUCGACGGGGACGAUGAUGACGGUACCCGUAGAAGAAGCCCCGGCUAACUUCGUGCCAGCAGCCGCGGUAAUACGAAGGGGGCUAGCGUUGCUCGGAUUGACUGGGCGUAAAGGGCGCGUAGGCGGUUUGUACAGUCAGACGUGAAAUUCCUGGGCUCAACCUGGGGGCUGCGUUUGAUACGUGCAGACUUGAGUUCGGAAGAGGGUCGUGGAAUUCCCAGUGUAGAGGUGAAAUUCGUAGAUAUUGGGAAGAACACCGGUGGCGAAGGCGGCGACCUGGUCCGAUACUGACGCUGAGGCGCGAAAGCGUGGGGAGCAAACAGGAUUAGAUACCCUGGUAGUCCACGCCGUAAACGAUGUGCGCUGGAUGUUGGGUGACAUAGUCAUUCAGUGUCGUAGCUAACGCGAUAAGCGCACCGCCUGGGGAGUACGGCCGCAAGGUUGAAACUCA